Molecule: ribosomal RNA, 479 nt
Filed under: uncultured bacterium
Lineage: Bacteria
Description: partial 16S ribosomal RNA
Rfam family: Bacterial small subunit ribosomal RNA
Source: RNAcentral
GACGAACGCUGGCGGUGUGCUUAACACAUGCAAGUCGAACGGUAAGGCCCUUUCGGGGGUACACGAGUGGCGAACGGGUGAGUAACACGUGGGUAGUCUGCCCUGCACUUCGGGAUAAGCCUGGGAAACUGGGUCUAAUACCGGAUAUGAGCUUCUGCCGCAUGGUGGGGGGUGGAAAGUUUUUCGGUGCAGGGUGAGCCCGCGGCCGAUCAGCUUGUUGGUGGGGUAAUGGCCUACCAAGGCGACGACGGGUAGCCGGCCUGAGAGGGUGAUCGGCCACACUGGGACUGAGACACGGCCCAGACUCCUACGGGAGGCAGCAGUGGGGAAUAUUGCACAAUGGGCGGAAGCCUGAUGCAGCGACGCCGCGUGGGGGAUGACGGUCUUCGGAUUGUAAACCCCUUUCAGUAGGGACGAAGCGCAAGUGACGGUACCUGCAGAAGAAGCACCGGCCAACUACGUGCCAGCAGCCGCCGUAA